Molecule: ribosomal RNA, 269 nt
Filed under: uncultured prokaryote
Description: partial 16S ribosomal RNA
Rfam family: Bacterial small subunit ribosomal RNA
Source: RNAcentral
UACGGAGGGUGCGAGCGUUGUUCGGAAUUAUUGGGCGUAAAGCGCGUGUAGGCGGCUUGGUAAGUUGGGUGUGAAAGCCCGGGGCUCAACCCCGGAACUGCACUCGAUACUGCCUCGCUAGAGUCCCGGAGAGGAGAGCGGAAUUCCCGGUGUAGAGGUGAAAUUCGUAGAUAUCGGGAGGAACACCAGCGGCGAAGGCGGCUCUCUGGACGGUGACUGACGCUGAGACGCGAAAGCGUGGGGAGCAAACAGGAUUAGAUACCCCCGUA